This 31-nucleotide small RNA is filed under the name Bombyx mori (domestic silkworm). Its description in RNAcentral is "ovarian small RNA-10399". The record is from RNAcentral. Lineage: Eukaryota; Metazoa; Arthropoda; Insecta; Lepidoptera; Bombycidae.
AACGCUCAUAAUAAGUGCCUCUCACGGGCCU